AUACGUAGGUGACAAGCGUUAUCCGGAUUUACUGGGCGUAAAGGGCGUGUAGGCGGUCUUGCAAGUCAGAAGUGAAAUUCCUGAGCUCAACUCGGGCGCUGCUUCUGAAACUGCAGGACUUGAGUGCUGGAGGGGAUAGCGGAAUUCCUAGUGGAGCGGUAAAAUGCGCAGAUAUUAGGAAGAACACCGGUGGCGAAGGCGGCUAUCUGGACAGUAACUGACGCUGAGGCGCGAAAGCGUGGGGGGCAAACAGUAUUAGAUACCCGGGUAGUCCACGCCGUAAACGAUGAAUACUAGGUGUAGGGGGUAUCGACUCCCUCUGUGCCUCAGUUAACACAAUAAGUAUUCCGCCUGGGGAGUACGGCCGCAAGGUUGAAACUCAAAUGAAUUGACGGGG
Molecule: ribosomal RNA, 397 nt
Filed under: uncultured bacterium
Lineage: Bacteria
Description: partial 16S ribosomal RNA
Rfam family: Bacterial small subunit ribosomal RNA
Source: RNAcentral